UUCGGGUGCCGACGAGUGGCGAACGGGUGAGUAACGCGUGGAUACCUGUCCUAUGGUGGGGAAUAACGUUUAGAAAUGAACGCUAAUACCGCAUAAGCCCUACGGGGGAAAGAUUUAUCGCCAUAGGAGGGGUCCGCGUCGGAUUAGCUUGUUGGUGGGGUAACGGCCUACCAAGGCAACGAUCCGUAGCUGGUCUGAGAGGAUGAUCAGCCACACUGGGACUGAGACACGGCCCAGACUCCUACGGGAGGCAGCAGUGGGGAAUAUUGCGCAAUGGGGGCAACCCUGACGCAGCGACGCCGCGUGGGUGAAGAAGGCCUUAGGGUUGUAAAGCCCUUUCAGUGGGAAAGAUUGUGACGGUACCCACAGAAGAAGCUCCGGCUAACUCCGUGCCAGCAGCCGCGGUAAUACGGAGGGAGCUAGCGUUGUUCGGAAUUACUGGGCGUAAAGGGCGCGUAGGCGGUUUGACAAG
This 472-nucleotide ribosomal RNA is filed under the name uncultured Magnetococcus sp. RNAcentral's name for it is "bacterial SSU rRNA". It matches the Rfam family "Bacterial small subunit ribosomal RNA", at positions 79 to 587 of the family's 1533-position model. The record is from RNAcentral. Lineage: Bacteria; Pseudomonadati; Pseudomonadota; Magnetococcia; Magnetococcales; Magnetococcaceae.